This 433-nucleotide ribosomal RNA is filed under the name uncultured bacterium. Its description in RNAcentral is "partial 16S ribosomal RNA". It matches the Rfam family "Bacterial small subunit ribosomal RNA", at positions 29 to 507 of the family's 1533-position model. The record is from RNAcentral.
AACGAACGCUGGCGGCAUGCCUAACACAUGCAAGUCGAACGAAACCUUCGGGUCUAGUGGCGCACGGGUGCGUAACGCGUGGGAACCUGCCCUUAGGUUCGGAAUAACUCCCCGAAAGGGGUGCUAAUACCGGAUAAUGUCUUCGGACCAAAGAUUUAUCGCCUUUGGAUGGGCCCGCGUUGGAUUAGCUAGUUGGUAGGGUAAAAGCCUACCAAGGCGACGAUCCAUAGCUGGUCGGAGAGGAUGAUCAGCCACACUGGGACUGAGACACGGCCCAGACUCCUACGGGAGGCAGCAGUGGGGAAUAUUGGACAAUGGGCGAAAGCCUGAUCCAGCAAUGCCGCGUGAGUGAUGAAGGCCUUAGGGUUGUAAAGCUCUUUUACCCGGGAUGAUAAUGACAGUACCGGGAGAAUAAGCUCCGGCUAACUCCGUG